GGGAAUGUGGCUUAGUGGUAGAGUGCUUGCCUAGCACGCAUGAAGCCCUGAAGUCCAUUCCUC
This 63-nucleotide transfer RNA is filed under the name Dipodomys ordii (Ord's kangaroo rat). It matches the Rfam family "tRNA". From Rfam's summary of the family: Transfer RNA (tRNA) molecules are approximately 80 nucleotides in length. Their secondary structure includes four short double-helical elements and three loops (D, anti-codon, and T loops). Further hydrogen bonds mediate the characteristic L-shaped molecular structure. tRNAs have two regions of fundamental functional importance: the anti-codon, which is responsible for specific mRNA codon recognition, and the 3' end, to which the tRNAs corresponding amino acid is attached (by aminoacyl-tRNA synthetases). tRNAs cope with the degeneracy of the genetic code in two manners: having more than one tRNA (with a specific anti-codon) for a particular amino acid; and 'wobble' base-pairing, i.e. permitting non-standard base-pairing at the 3rd anti-codon position. The record is from Rfam by way of RNAcentral. Lineage: Eukaryota; Metazoa; Chordata; Mammalia; Rodentia; Heteromyidae.